This 433-nucleotide ribosomal RNA is filed under the name uncultured bacterium. RNAcentral describes it as "partial 16S ribosomal RNA". It matches the Rfam family "Bacterial small subunit ribosomal RNA", at positions 39 to 507 of the family's 1533-position model. The record is from RNAcentral.
GGGGGGGGGGGGGGGGGGGGCGGGGGGGUGCGGGGGGGGCGCGGCCGGCGGGGCGGGGGGCGGAGGGGUAGUUGACGCGGGGGGACCUGCCGUUGGGGUGGUAGUAACUCCCCUGGAGUAGAGCUAAUGCCGGAUAAUGUGUUCACACCCAAGAUUUAUCGCCGUUGGCGUGUCCCGCGUUUGAUUAGCUAGUUGGUAGGGUAACAGCGUACCAAGGCGACGAGCCAUAGCUGGUCUGCGAGGAUGCCCCGCCACACCGGGACUGAGACACGGCCCAGACUCCUACGGGAGGCAGCAGUGGGGAAUAUUGGACAAUGGGCGAAAGCCUGAUCCAGCAAGGCCGCGUGAGUGAUGAAGGCCUUAGGGUUGUAAAGCUCUUUUACCCGGGAUGAUAAUGACAGUACCGGGAGAAUAAGCUCCGGCUAACUCCGUG